GUGCACCCUGUAGCCUAGUGGCUAAGGUACAUGACUAGGACCCUUGAGAUUGCCUGUUCAAACCCCAGUCCAGGCACA
Albula glossodonta (roundjaw bonefish) is the source of this 78-nucleotide non-coding RNA. NCBI's taxonomy places the organism in Eukaryota, Metazoa, Chordata, Actinopteri, Albuliformes, Albulidae. The record is from the annotation of a GenBank genome assembly.